AGCUUGCUCUUAUGAAGUUAGCGGCGGACGGGUGAGUAACACGUGGGUAACCUGCCCAUAAGACUGGGAUAACUCCGGGAAACCGGGGCUAAUACCGGAUAACAUUUUGAACUGCAUGGUUCGAAAUUGAAAGGCGGCUUCGGCUGUCACUUAUGGAUGGACCCGCGUCGCAUUAUCUAGUUGGUGAGGUAACGGCUCACCAAGGCAACGAUGCGUAACCGACCUGAGAGGGUGAUCGGCCACACUGGGACUGAGACACGGCCCAGACUCCUACGGGAGGCAGCAGUAGGGAAUCUUCCGCAAUGGACGAAAGUCUGACGGAGCAACGCCGCGUGAGUGAUGAAGGCUUUCGGGUCGUAAAACUCUGUUGUUAGGGAAGAACAAGUGCUAGUUGAAUAAGCUGGCACCUUGACGGUACCUAACCAGAAAGCCACGGCUAACUACGUGCCAGCAGCCGCGGUAAUACGUAGGUGGCAAGCGUUAUCCGGAAUUAUUGGGCGUAAAGCGCGCGCAGGUGGUUUCUUAAGUCUGAUGUGAAAGCCCACGGCUCAACCGUGGAGGGUCAUUGGAAACUGGGAGACUUGAGUGCAGAUGAGGAAAGUGGAAUUCCAUGUGUAGCGGUGAAAUGCGUAGAGAUAUGGAGGAACACCAGUGGCGAAUGCGACUUUCUGGUCUGUAACUGACACUGAGGCGCGAAAGCGUGGGGAGCAAACAGGAUUAGAUACCCUGAUAGUCCACGCCGUAAACGAUGA
This 752-nucleotide ribosomal RNA is filed under the name Bacillus sp. (in: firmicutes). RNAcentral's name for it is "bacterial SSU rRNA". It matches the Rfam family "Bacterial small subunit ribosomal RNA", at positions 77 to 812 of the family's 1533-position model. Lineage: Bacteria; Bacillati; Bacillota; Bacilli; Caryophanales; Bacillaceae. The record is from RNAcentral.